GCUCGACUAGCUCAGUUGGUUAGAGCAUGCGGCUGUUAACCGCAAGGUCGUAGGUUCGAUCCCUACGUCGAGCG
This 74-nucleotide transfer RNA is filed under the name Ichthyophthirius multifiliis. RNAcentral's name for it is "tRNA-Asn". It matches the Rfam family "tRNA". Rfam says of the family: Transfer RNA (tRNA) molecules are approximately 80 nucleotides in length. Their secondary structure includes four short double-helical elements and three loops (D, anti-codon, and T loops). The record is from RNAcentral. Lineage: Eukaryota; Ciliophora; Oligohymenophorea; Hymenostomatida. RNAcentral also lists the same sequence under 1 other name.